UUUUAUGGAGAGUUUGAUCCUGGCUCAGGACGAACGCUGGCGGCGUGCCUAAUACAUGCAAGUCGAGCGAACGUC
Molecule: ribosomal RNA, 75 nt
Filed under: Lysinibacillus fusiformis ZC1
Lineage: Bacteria; Bacillati; Bacillota; Bacilli; Caryophanales; Bacillaceae
Description: partial 16S ribosomal RNA
Rfam family: Bacterial small subunit ribosomal RNA
Source: RNAcentral